AUGGGAGAGAAGAUUACAGAACACCUUCUGCAGACAAUCACUUCUGAAGUCAAGACAACACUGAAGGAUCACUUCAAAAAAUUUGACAGUGGUUUAGGCUACAUCCUAGAAUCCUUAAGGCAAAACUUUUUGGCAUUUGAAAAGAAAAAUACAGACACAUAUGAGGCUCUUGUUGAGGCUGUCAGCRUCAUCAUUAUUACAGAAUAUGUCCAGGCCCUCCUGACCAUUUCCAGGAAACCAUCAUCUGGGCAGAGGAGGAGGAUUGUCAGCAAGAUAGAAGAUGACCAUAGGAUGUUGCAAAGCAUCUUUAAAGAGUGCUUAGGUCCUAAAGCAAGUUCCCUCAAGGAUCCAAUAAAAGCAAUUAUAGGACUUAUUCAAACUUCUGAUGCCGAGGGAAUGAAAAUAGCCCUUCURCCCAUUCUGAGAGAAUUUCCUGAUCUAAGGAAAGAACAUCUGAGYGUUGUGCUGGACCUCAAAGACUCACUCAGCCGAGAAGACAGAGCCGCUCUCUUGAACACAUUUCAUGAUAAUUGUGGGGAAACAGGAACAAACUUGCUUUUUGGAGAUAUAGAGGUAAAGCCUAGGACGUGCGGGCUCUGUGGCUGCUUCUGUUGUUAGCAAAGAUCUGCUCUGAAAAAACAUGAGGUGUCUCUGCCCCGUGGCAGCACCUGCAAUCACAGCUCCUUGGGGGUUUCUGGGACUGGUGCAGUCGGAGGCACGAAGAAGCAGGCCAGCCGCAGAAGACACAACUCCUGCMCUUUUUCAAGAAAACCACGAGGCCCAAAUCCUAAUCUAUGCAAAAGCUGGAUGGUGCAUGAAUAGGUCAAAGCAGAGUGACAUUCCUGCAACAUUUCCUAGAGACUGCUGCUUAGCUGAGUCCUGGGGGUCAUUCCCAGGAUGCGGCAUAGUGCUGCGUGGAGGGGGAAAACCCCCAAUUUCUUACUGUUUCCCUCCCUUGUUCUACACACGACCUCAGACRUAACCAGGGACUGCUGUCCCGCCCUAGCGGGUGACACGGCACCUCCGCAUCCCACGCUGACCCUGGUCCAGCCCCRUAACCUCGGUCCUGGUUCCCACAUGGGAGCCAUGCAGAGAGGGGCUGCGACCCGCCGUGGGGACAGCCUGCUGGGCGGAAAGGAGCCAUUUCCAACAUUGCAUUGAGGCCACCAGCCCCCCGAGCGGGAGCGGGGACAGCUUGCACCCCACUGGGCCCCCCCUGCCCGGGGCACCGGCUGCUCGCCGGGAUGCCGGUCCCGCACGAGUUUUACAGYCGGCUCUGCGGCUGAGCUUUGCACUCAUUUUAUACCUCAGUCAAUGGAAAUUUCCUCUUGCUGUGGAAAGCAGCUCCUUUGGGGAGGGACCUCUUGCUGUGGAGACUCUCGUGGGAAGCCGGCAGUGAAAGGCGCUGCUGGUCCCAACCUCUGGGCAAGGCGUGCUGCUUUCAGAUGUAAAUAGGCAGUUCYGCUGGGGGAAGCACUGACCUUUCUUGCCAGCUGUCUGCGGCCUGGUCACAGCCUCCGAGCUGGACGUGGYUCCAGGCCCCAUUUGCUGUUGCACUGAUGUAGGUCAUUACCGUUGGGCUCCUCUCCGGCCGGGUCAGCAGGCUAAGGGUGCGGAAACGUGCUGCCGCCUCCCACACUCAGGUUUUCCUGAGCAGCCAUUCCUGCUCGGACAUGCUUUCUCCCCCUCAUCUCCUGGCAUGUAAACAGGCUUUUAUUUAACAAGAAAAGGGGCAAAUCUGUGAAUAACCUGUAAGCGCGCCAGGCCGUGGGCACCGCUGCUCCCGAGACCCCGGGAGAGUGCCGGCCUGGGCAGGCACCGCAGCACCGCACCGCGCGCCAAGCCCUGCGCAGCCGGCAAUAAAACCACGUCGUCUGGGGAGGGCCA
Dromaius novaehollandiae (emu) is the source of this 1887-nucleotide long non-coding RNA. The record is from Ensembl. NCBI's taxonomy places the organism in Eukaryota, Metazoa, Chordata, Aves, Casuariiformes, Dromaiidae.